Molecule: ribosomal RNA, 851 nt
Filed under: uncultured bacterium
Lineage: Bacteria
Description: bacterial SSU rRNA
Rfam family: Bacterial small subunit ribosomal RNA
Source: RNAcentral
GAUGAACGCUAGCGGCAGGCUUAACACAUGCAAGUCGAGGGGUAUAAGUCUUCGGAUUUAGAGACCGGCGCACGGGUGCGUAACGCGUAUGCAAUCUACCUUUCACAAAGGGAUAGCCCAGAGAAAUUUGGAUUAAUACCUUAUAGUAUAUAUGAAUGGCAUCAUUUAUAUAUUAAAGAUUUAUCGGUGAAAGAUGAGCAUGCGUCCCAUUAGCUAGUUGGUAUGGUAACGGCAUACCAAGGCUACGAUGGGUAGGGGUCCUGAGAGGGAGAUCCCCCACACUGGUACUGAGACACGGACCAGACUCCUACGGGAGGCAGCAGUGAGGAAUAUUGGACAAUGGGCGCAAGCCUGAUCCAGCCAUGCCGCGUGCAGGAUGACGGUCCUAUGGAUUGUAAACUGCUUUUGUACAGGAAGAAACAUCUCUACGUGUAGAGACUUGACGGUACUGUAAGAAUAAGGAUCGGCUAACUCCGUGCCAGCAGCCGCGGUAAUACGGAGGAUCCAAGCGUUAUCCGGAAUCAUUGGGUUUAAAGGGUCCGUAGGCGGUCUUAUAAGUCAGUGGUGAAAUCUCCCCGCUCAACGGGGAAACGGCCAUUGAUACUGUAAGACUUGAAUUAUUAGGAAGUAACUAGAAUAUGUAGUGUAGCGGUGAAAUGCUUAGAGAUUACAUGGAAUACCAAUUGCGAAGGCAGGUUACUACUAAUGGAUUGACGCUGAUGGACGAAAGCGUGGGUAGCGAACAGGAUUAGAUACCCUGGUAGUCCACGCCGUAAACGAUGGAUACUAGCUGUUGGAAGCAAUUUCAGUGGCUAAGCGAAAGUGAUAAGUAUCCCACCUGGGGAGUACUU